CAGUAUUUAACACACCCCUCCUCAAGCAGACACACUAUAAGCACUGCCUACCCCUGGGGCUGGACAUGAACACUAACAAUGAAUGUACUUGGCUCACCUCUUUCUACUUGCUCUCUUGCUUGCUGAUUUGUCAUUCCAGGGUACGGACAAACCCCUAAGCUGAAGGUCUCCCAGAGAAGGAUGCCAAAGCUCCACACGUCACUCUCUGAACUGUAUCUCCCUGGAAGAGGAACAACAACCAUAACCACAUGAGGCACAGUAGACAAGCUAACCUAGCAGAAUGUGGUAGAAGUGAUGGUAUGAAGUUCUGGAGUGUAGGCCACAAGAGACCUUGCAGCUUCCAACUUUUGUCUUUCUGGAACAUUCCUGAUACCAUGUAAAGAAGCCCAGGAAGCCGAGGCAGGAGGAUCGAGCGCAGGAGUUCAAGACCAGCCUGGGCAACACAGUGGGAUCCUGUCUCUAAUUUUAAAAAAAUGUAAACCACAAUGAGAUAUCACUGCACAUACCCACCAGAAUGACUAAAACUCAAGACUGACGGUAACAAGUGUUGACAAAGACAUGAAGAAAUAGCAGCUGUCAUACAUUGUUGGUGAGAACACAAAGUGGAACAACCACUUUGGAAAACAGUUUUGUAGUUUCUUAUAAAGCUAAAUGUAAUUUUUUUCCAUAGAACCCAGCCACUCACCUUCUAGAUAUUUUCUCAAGAAAAAUAACACACUGACACAAAGACUUACAUAUGACUAUUCAGAGCAGCUUUCUUCAUAAUGGCCCUAAACUGGAAAUAACCCACCUGUUUAUCAACUGGAGAUUGGAAAACAAUCUGUAAUAUAUUCAUACAAUGAAAUACUCAGAAAUAAAAAAGCAUAAACUAACAUACGCAAUAAUAUGGACAGAUCUGAAAAGCAUUAUAAGUUACAAAAAAGAAAGCUAGAACAAAACAUACUGCAUAUGUUUUGUUCUAAUGAAAUGAUCUAAAUGUCGAUCAUUUAGACAUUAGAGAUCAUAGCUCGAUGUAAAUGCAAUUUUAGAAACAUCUAAGCUACAGUGACAGAUGAGUGGUUCCCUAGGGCCAGAGAUAGGAAAAGGAUACUGACUGCAAAACAGUGUGAGGGAACUUUUGGGGAUGAUGGAAGUGUGGUAAUGAUUACAUGACAUGACUAUAUGUAUUUGGCAAGACUCAUCAAACUGUACCUUAAAAUUGGUGCAUUUUAUUGUAUUUAUAGUGCAAUAAAGGUGAUUAAAAAAAUAGGCACCUUAAGAUUCUUACAAAUAUAUAAUAUGCAAGUCUUGUGUGAAUCUGUUAUUUUUCCUGAGUAAAUAUCUAUUUGUAACUAUAUAAAAUUAUAAAGUUACUGGUGUUACUAAUAAAGAACUUGGGAUGG
Molecule: long non-coding RNA, 1382 nt
Filed under: Homo sapiens (human)
Lineage: Eukaryota; Metazoa; Chordata; Mammalia; Primates; Hominidae
Description: HSALNT0092666
Source: RNAcentral